Long non-coding RNA from Melanotaenia boesemani (Boeseman's rainbowfish), 100 nucleotides. RefSeq lists it as uncharacterized. The transcript has 3 exons. The record is from RefSeq and is a predicted model, not a curated record. Lineage: Eukaryota; Metazoa; Chordata; Actinopteri; Atheriniformes; Melanotaeniidae.
CUUGGCUUCUACACACUUAAAAAAUAUCCACAAUGUCAACGCGACACCCUCCAGGGUGUUCCUCAUCUCCGCCGCGAGGAGAGCGGGUCCGCGCUCCGCU